Non-coding RNA from Oenanthe melanoleuca, 480 nucleotides. The record is from the annotation of a RefSeq genome assembly. Lineage: Eukaryota; Metazoa; Chordata; Aves; Passeriformes; Muscicapidae.
AUGGCCGGGACAUUAUGGGAUGAGGUGGCCGUGACCCUGCUGGAGUCCACGGGGGACCUCCAGCCCUAUGGGGGGUCCUUGACUCUGCUCUGCCGCGGGUCUGGGUUCAAAUUCGAUGGUUACAACAUGGCGUGGGUCCGCCAGAGCCCUGGGAAGGGUCUGGAAUGGCUUGGGGAGAUCAGCAUCGGUGGCAGCACCGUCUACGCGCCGUCAGUCAAGGGUCAGUUCAGGAUCUCCAGGGACAACGGGCAGAGCUCGGUGACGCUGACCAUGAACAACCUCAAGGACGAGGAUUCCGGCGCCUAUUUCUGUGCCAAAGCUACUGGUGGUCGUUGGGCUGGUGCUUAUGCUGCUUAUGCUGCUGAUGGUUUUUACCACACUCUCACCCCUCUACCCCCACAGGUCCCUAAACGUCCCCACACCCUUCCUGCAAACCCCAAAGUUUCACCCCGACUGUUAACACGGACCCUGGGUCCUUAG